UACGUAGGGUGCAAGCGUUAAUCGGAAUUACUGGGCGUAAAGCGUGCGCAGGCGGCUUUGCAAGACAGAUGUGAAAUCCCCGGGCUUAACCUGGGAACUGCAUUUGUGACUGCAUGGUUAGAGUGCGGCAGAGGGGGAUGGAAUUCCGCGUGUAGCAGUGAAAUGCGUAGAUAUGCGGAGGAACACCGAUGGCGAAGGCAGCCUUCUGGGCCAACACUGACGCUCAUGCACGAAAGCGUGGGGAGCAAACAGG
Molecule: ribosomal RNA, 253 nt
Filed under: uncultured bacterium
Lineage: Bacteria
Description: partial 16S ribosomal RNA
Rfam family: Bacterial small subunit ribosomal RNA
Source: RNAcentral